This 59-nucleotide ribosomal RNA is filed under the name Tuber aestivum (summer truffle). Its description in RNAcentral is "partial 28S ribosomal RNA". It matches the Rfam family "Eukaryotic large subunit ribosomal RNA", at positions 1 to 57 of the family's 3401-position model. Lineage: Eukaryota; Fungi; Ascomycota; Pezizomycetes; Pezizales; Tuberaceae. The record is from RNAcentral.
UUUGACCUCGGAUCAGGUAGGGGUACCCGCUGAACUUAAGCAUAUCAAUAAGCGGAGGA